This 1357-nucleotide ribosomal RNA is filed under the name Onthophagus baolocensis. RNAcentral describes it as "16S ribosomal RNA". The stretch from base 1079 to 1237 matches the Rfam family "Archaeal large subunit ribosomal RNA", at positions 2542 to 2701 of the family's 2987-position model. Lineage: Eukaryota; Metazoa; Arthropoda; Insecta; Coleoptera; Scarabaeidae. The record is from RNAcentral.
GAAAUUAUAUAAUAUAAAUUUUUAAUAAAAAUAUUUUUGAUUUUGUUUAUUGUUAAUGAAAAAAUUAUUGUUUAAUGAUAGUUUAAUAAAGUAUAGUGAUAGAAUAAUUAAAUAUUUUGAAAUAAUUUAAAUAAUAUAAAAAGAAAAUUUAAUUUAUUGUACCUUGUGUAUCAGGGUUUAUUAAAUAAUAAUUAUUAAUUUUAAUUUUCUCGAAUUUAAAAGAGUUAAGAAAUUAUAAAUAUUAUUGUGACAUAAAUAUUUAACAUAAUUUUUUAGUAAUGAAACGUUAUUCGUUUUUAAAUUUAUCUAGUUUUUUAAGAAAUAAAUUUAAUUUAGUUAUUUAUUGUUUAAAUUUAAAUAAUUUUUAUAUUUAUAUUUAUAUAAGUAAUUAAUAUCUUAAGGGAUAAGCUUUAAGAUAAAUAAUUGAUAAAUGUAAUUUAAUUUUUAAAUAGUAAAAUUUAUAGAAGUGAAAGUAUUUUUUUAUGGUAGUGUUUUAUAACAAAUUUUAUUUUGAUUUUGAUUUAUAUAUUAUUUUCAAUUAUUUAUUAAAAUUAUUAAUUUAAUUAAAUAGUUAAUGUAAUAAUGAUGAAAUUAGUAUAAAUUUAUGUAAAAUUUAAUUUAUUAAAUUUAGGUUAAGUUAAGGAAUUCGGCAAAAUUAUUUUUCCGCCUGUUUAUUAAAAACAUGUCUUUUUGAUUAUAAUUUAAAGUCUGACCUGCCCUAUGAUAUAGAAAUAUUAAAUGGCCGCGAUAUUUUGAUCGUGCAAAGGUAGCAUAAUCAUUAGUUUUUUAAUUGAGAACUGGAAUGAAAGGUCGAACGAGAAAAAUACUGUCUCAAUUUAAAUUUGAUUAGAAUUUUAUUUUUAAGUAAAAAAGCUUAAAUAAUUUUAAAAGACGAGAAGACCCUAUAGAGUUUUAUAUUUAGUUAUUAUUAAAAAAAUUAGGUAUUAUUUAUUUUUAAUAAUGAUUAAUUAUUUGGUUGGGGUGAUUGAAAAAUUGAAUGAACUUUUUUUAGUAUUAUUACAUUGAUAUAUGAAUUAUUGAUCCAUAAAUUAUGAUUAAAAGAUUAAAUUACCUUAGGGAUAACAGCGUUAUUUUUUUUGAGAGUUCUUAUCGAAAAAAAAGUUUGCGACCUCGAUGUUGGAUUAAAAUUAACUUUUGGUGUAGAAGCUAAUAGGUUAGGUCUGUUCGACCUUUAAAAUUUUACAUGAUCUGAGUUUAAACCGGUGUAAGCCAGGUUGGUUUCUAUCUUUAAAAGUAUAAAAUACUUUAGUACGAAAGGAUCAAGUAUUUUUAAUAAUUAAAUAUUUAAGAUUAUUAUUAAUUUUUUUAAUAAAAAAAAUUACUUUGGCAGAAUAGU